Molecule: transfer RNA, 66 nt
Filed under: Bemisia sp. WTT-2017
Lineage: Eukaryota; Metazoa; Arthropoda; Insecta; Hemiptera; Aleyrodidae
Description: tRNA-His
Source: RNAcentral
UCUAAAUAGUUUACAAAAAUAUUAAUAUGUGAAAUUAAAGAUAACUUUAAAAAAGUUUUUAGAUUA